Molecule: ribosomal RNA, 497 nt
Filed under: uncultured bacterium
Lineage: Bacteria
Description: partial 16S ribosomal RNA
Rfam family: Bacterial small subunit ribosomal RNA
Source: RNAcentral
GAUGAACGCUGGCGGCGUGCCUAAUACAUGCAAGUCGAGCGAACGGACGAGAAGCUUGCUUCUCUGAUGUUAGCGGCGGACGGGUGAGUAACACGUGGAUAACCUACCUAUAAGACUGGGAUAACUUCGGGAAACCGUAGCUAAUACCGGAUAAUAUUUUGAACCGCAUGGUUCAAAAGUGAAAGACGGUCUUGCUGUCACUUAUAGAUGGAUCCGCGCUGCAUUAGCUAGUUGGUAAGGUAACGGCUUACCAAGGCAACGAUGCAUAGCCGACCUGAGAGGGUGAUCGGCCACACUGGAACUGAGACACGGUCCAGUCUCCUACGGGAGGCAGCAGUAGGGAAUCUUCCGCAAUGGGCGAAAGCCUGACGGAGCAACGCCGCGUGAGUGAUGAAGGUCUUCGGAUCGUAAAACUCUGUUAUUAGGGAAGAACAUAUGUGUAAGUAACUGUGCACAUCUUGACGGUACCUAAUCAGAAAGCCACGGCUAACUACGUG